AGCUUCAAUAGCGUAUAUUAACAUUGUUGCAGUUGAAAAGCUCGUAGUUGAAUUUCUGACAGAAGUGACCAUACCUUUAACGUAAUGUUAUUGUUUGUUUUUGUGUCUAACUUUAGUCAUCAUUUGUUUUUUAUUUUUAAGAAACAAUCAUUUACUGUAAAUAAAAUAGAGUGAUUUAAGCACUUUGUUCUGAAGAGAAUAUACUAUUAUGGAAUAAUAAGAUAGGACUUUGAUGCUAUUUUGUUGGUUUGUACAUCAAGGUAAUGAUUAAUAGGGAUGGUUGGGGGUAUUUGUAUUUAAAUGUCAGAGGUGAAAUUCUUGGAUUUUUUAAAGACAAACUACUGCGAAGGCAUUUACCAAAGACAUUCUCA
RNAcentral lists this ribosomal RNA (371 nucleotides) under uncultured eukaryote. Its description in RNAcentral is "SSU rRNA". It matches the Rfam family "Eukaryotic small subunit ribosomal RNA", at positions 587 to 972 of the family's 1831-position model. The record is from RNAcentral.